AACAAACGCUGGCGGCGUGCCUAAUACAUGCAAGUCGAACGGGGAAAGCUUUCGGGUGAGUACUAGUGGCGCACGGGUGAGGAACGCGUGGAUAAUCUGCCUUAGAGUGGGGGAUAACUAGUCGAAAGAUUAGCUAAUACCGCAUAAGACCACGAGAGCUGCGGCUUUUGGGGUCAAAGGUUUUUCGCUCUAAGAUGAGUCCGCGUAAGAUUAGCUAGUUGGUGAGGUAACGGCUCACCAAGGCGACGAUCUUUAACUGGUCUGAGAGGAUGAUCAGUCACACUGGAACUGAGACACGGUCCAGACUCCUACGGGAGGCAGCAGUAGGGAAUAUUGCACAAUGGAGGAAACUCUGAUGCAGCGACGCCGCGUGAGUGAUGAAGGCCUUCGGGUCGUAAAGCUCUGUCGCAGGGGAAUAACACAAUGAAGGUACCCUGUAAGAAAGGAUCGGCUAACUUCGUG
RNAcentral lists this ribosomal RNA (462 nucleotides) under uncultured bacterium. RNAcentral's name for it is "partial 16S ribosomal RNA". It matches the Rfam family "Bacterial small subunit ribosomal RNA", at positions 29 to 507 of the family's 1533-position model. The record is from RNAcentral.